GAGUUUGAUCCUGGCUCAGAACGAACGCUGGCGGCGUGCCUAACACAUGCAAGUCGAACGGUGAAAAUGAGGCUUCGGCCGAAACACGAGUGGCGCACGGGUGAGUAAUAUAUGGGUAAUCUGCCCUCGAGUGGGGGAUAACGUUUCGAAAGGAACGCUAAUACCGCAUAACCCGCUUUGAACACAAGUUCUUAGCGGCAAAGAUGGCCUCUGCUUGCAAGCUAUUGCUUGAGGAGGAGCCCGUAUCCCAUUAGGCAGUUGGUGAGGUAACGGCUCACCAAACCUACGAUGGGUAGCCGGCCUGAGAGGGUGGCCGGCCACACUGGAACUGAGACACGGUCCAGACUCCUACGGGAGGCAGCAGUGAGGAAUUUUGGGCAAUGGGCGCAAGCCUGACCCAGCGACGCCGCGUGGGCGAUGAAGGUUUUCGGAUCUUAAAGCCCUGUGAGUUGGGAAGAAGGGGUUAGUUGCUAAUAUCAACUAAUUCUGACAGUACCAACAGAGGAAGCCCCGGCUAACUACGUGCCAGCAGCCGCGGUAAUACGUAGGGGGCAAGCGUUGUUCGGAAUUACUGGGCGUAAAGCGCGUGUAGGCGGUUUAAUAAGUCAGGAGUGAAAUCCCUCGGCUCAACUGAGGAACUGCUUUUGAAGCUAUUAAACUUGAGUAUGGGCGGGGAGAGCGGAAUUCCCGGUGUAGCGGUGAAAUGCGUAGAUAUCGGGAAGAACACCAGUGGCGAAGGCGGCUCUCUGGACCAUCACUGACGCUGAGACGCGAAAGCGUGGGGAGCAAACAGGAAUAGAUACCCUGGUAGUCCACGCCCUAAACGAUGGGUACUUGGCGUAGGNAGUAUUUAAAUCCCCCUUUGCCCGAGCUAACGCGUUAAGUACCCGCCUGGGGGAGUACGGUCGCAAGGCUGAA
This 918-nucleotide ribosomal RNA is filed under the name uncultured bacterium. RNAcentral's name for it is "bacterial SSU rRNA". It matches the Rfam family "Bacterial small subunit ribosomal RNA", at positions 9 to 898 of the family's 1533-position model. The record is from RNAcentral.